RNAcentral lists this ribosomal RNA (406 nucleotides) under uncultured prokaryote. RNAcentral describes it as "bacterial SSU rRNA". It matches the Rfam family "Bacterial small subunit ribosomal RNA", at positions 355 to 776 of the family's 1533-position model. The record is from RNAcentral.
UGGGGAAUAUUGGGCAAUGGGGGGAACCCUGACCCAGCAACGCCGCGUGAAGGAAGAAGGUUUUCGGAUUGUAAACUUCUGUCCUUGGUGAAGAGGAAGAGACGGUAGCCAAGGAGGAAGCCCCGGCUAACUACGUGCCAGCAGCCGCGGUAAUACGUAGGUGGCGAGCGUUAUCCGGAUUUACUGGGUGUAAAGGGCGUGUAGGCGGGUUUGCAAGUCGGGUGUGAAAGAUUCGGGCUUAACCCGGAGAGGUCAUCCGAAACUGCAGAUCUUGAGUGCUGGAGAGGAUAGUGGAAUUCCUGGUGUAGCGGUAAAAUGCGUAGAGAUCAGGAGGAACACCAGUGGCGAAGGCGGCUAUCUGGACAGUAACUGACGCUGAGGCGCGAAAGCGUGGGGAGCAAACAGG